RNAcentral lists this non-coding RNA (31 nucleotides) under Mus musculus (house mouse). The record is from RNAcentral. Lineage: Eukaryota; Metazoa; Chordata; Mammalia; Rodentia; Muridae.
UAUGCCAAGAAGUCUGCAAAACAUUAGAAGA